GAAGCAGCUCGUGUUACCGCUCGAAUGGAUGCGCUGUGCAUCUGCUCCCGUAUUCGAGGUCUUGUGUGUCAAAGGGUUGCAAGACGA
This 87-nucleotide small nucleolar RNA is filed under the name Leishmania donovani. RNAcentral's name for it is "H/ACA box snoRNA LD26Cs2H2". Lineage: Eukaryota; Euglenozoa; Kinetoplastea; Trypanosomatida; Trypanosomatidae. The record is from RNAcentral.